This 1348-nucleotide ribosomal RNA is filed under the name uncultured bacterium. Its description in RNAcentral is "bacterial SSU rRNA". It matches the Rfam family "Bacterial small subunit ribosomal RNA", at positions 26 to 1353 of the family's 1533-position model. The record is from RNAcentral.
ACAAUCAGGUUUGACGGCGUGCCUCAGACAUGCAAGUCGAACGCGAAAGCCCCUUUCGGGGGGCAAGUAGAGUGGCGCACGGGUGAGUAACACGUAGGUAAUCUACCUUCGGAUGGGGAAUAACAACCGGAAACGGUUGCUAAUACCGCAUAAUGCAGCGGCACCUAAUGGUGACAGUUGUUAAAGCGGGGGAUCGUAAGACCUCGCGUCUGAAGAGGAGCCUGCGGCAGAUUAGCUAGUUGGUGGGGUAAUGGCCCACCAAGGCGAUGAUCUGUAGCCGGCCUGAGAGGGCGGUCGGCCACACUGACACUGACAUACGGGUCAGACUCCUACGGGAGGCAGCAGUCGGGAAUUUUGGGCAAUGGGCGAAAGCCUGACCCAGCAACGCCGCGUGAAGGAUGAAAUCCCUCGGGAUGUAAACUUCGCAAGAACGGGAAGAAUAAGCCGGUGACAACACCACCGGCGAUGACGGUACCGUUUGUAAGCUCCGGCUAGCACCGUGCCAGCAGCCGCGGUAAUACGGGGGGAGCAAGCGUUGUUCGGAUUUACUGGGCGUAAAGGGCGCGUAGGCGGCCACCGCAAGUCGACUGUGAAAUCUCCGGGCUUAACUCGGAAAGGUCAGCCGAUACUGCGGGGCUAGAGUGCAGAAGGGGCAACUGGAAUUCUCGGUGUAGCGGUGAAAUGCGUAGAUAUCGAGAGGAACACCUGCGGCGAAGGCGGGUUGCUGGGCUGACACUGACGCUGAGGCGCGAAAGCUAGGGGAGCGAACGGGAUUAGAUACCCCGGUAGUCCACGCCGUAAACGAUGGAUACUAGGUGUUCGGUGGAUUAACCCACUGAGUACCGCAGUUCACACAUUAAGUAUCCCGCCUGGGGAGUACGGUCGCAAGGCUAAAACUCAAAGGAAUUGACGGGGGCCCGCACAAGCGGUGGAGUAUGUGGUUUAAUUCGAAGCAACGCGAAGAACCUUACCUGGCCUUGACAUCUCUUGAUAGCUGUAGAGAUACAGUUUUGACUUCGGUCACAGGAUGACAGGUGCUGCAUGGCUGUCGUCAGCUCGUGUUGUGAAAUGUUGGGUUAAGUCCCGCAACGAGCGCAACCCCUGUCCUUAGUUACUACCAUUAAGUUGGGGACUCUAGGGAGACUGCCGGUGUUAAACCGGAGGAAGGCGGGGAUGACGUCAAGUCCUCAUGGCCCUUACGGCCAGGGCUACACACGUACUACAAUGGCAGAGACAAACCGUUGCGAAGCCGUAAGGUGGAGCUAAUCGGAAAAACACUGUCCCAGUCCGGAUUGAGGUCUGCAACUCGACCUCAUGAAGUUGGAAUCGCUAGUAAUCGCAGAUCAGC